GCGCACCAGUCGCGAAACUUCACACUGCGCGAAAGCGCGAUGAGGGAAUCCCAAGUGCUUGCACGUAAGUGUAAGCUGUUUCCCUGUCUAAAAGCAGAGAGAGUAAGGGCUGGGUAAGACGGGUGCCAGCCGCCGCGGUAAUACCUGCAGCUCAAGUGGUGGCCGCUAUUAUUGGGCCUAAAACGUCCGUAGCCGGUCUAGUAAAUGCCUGGGUAAAUCGUGAGGCUUAAACCUUACGAAUUCCGGGUAGACUGCUAGACUUGAGACCGGGAGAGGCUAGAGGUACUCCUGGGGUAGAGGUGAAAUUCUGUAAUCCUAGGGGGACCACCAGUGGCGAAGGCGUCUAGCUAGAACGGGUCUGACGGUGAGGGACGAAGCCCUGGGGCGCAAACCGGAUUAGAUACUCCGGUAGU
Molecule: ribosomal RNA, 413 nt
Filed under: uncultured microorganism
Description: bacterial SSU rRNA
Rfam family: Archaeal small subunit ribosomal RNA
Source: RNAcentral